AAACGUAGGGGGCAAGCGUUGUCCGGAAUUACUGGGUGUAAAGGGAGCGUAGGCGGAGAUUCAAGCGGAUUGUACAAUCCCGGGGCCCAACCCCGGCUCUGCAGUCCGAACUGGAUCUCUUGGAUAGUUCAGGGGCAGGCGGAAUUCCUGGGGGAGCGGGGGAAUGCGUAGAGAUCAGGAAGAACACCGAUGGCGAAGGCAGCCUGCUGGGGACUUAUCGACGCUGAGGCUCGAAAGUGCGGGUAGCAAACAGGAUUAGAUACCCUGGUAGUCCGCACCGUAAACGAUGCAUACUGGGUGUCCGGGGGUUCCCCCGGGUACCGUAGCCAACGCGUUAAGUAUGCCGCCUGGGGAGUACGUACGCAAGUAUGAAACUCAAAUGAAUUGACGG
This 391-nucleotide ribosomal RNA is filed under the name uncultured bacterium. Its description in RNAcentral is "partial 16S ribosomal RNA". It matches the Rfam family "Bacterial small subunit ribosomal RNA", at positions 523 to 916 of the family's 1533-position model. The record is from RNAcentral.